AUUAACUUUCGCACGUGCUCAUCUUCUUUGUGUCUCCAAAGCCACCGAGCCCUUCGCCCCUUUCGAUCUGUCUCUGCUCGGGAACGGAGGUUGGUUCGAUGAUCGCGAAGACGGAGGAGGUAUGUGCGCUGCUUCCUCCAGUAUUGCCUUGUGGUUUGAGGGUGGGAGCUGACGGAACCAAUCAGAGGGACGAGGAGGGUGAUCAUUUGCCCCUGUAUGCCAACGAGGUCCGUCGCAUGUUGAUUUCCUUUCCAUUCUUGCCACAUUGUCGCUUUGGGCUUUACUCAUAGUUUGUCAUUUAGGUUCGUAUUUGGUGUAGCAACAUAUGAGUAGCAAAAAUGAUAAGUAGAAGUAAUCAGAUCCUAUGAACUAGCAGACUGGAUUGAAGCAGAAUGAUCUUUGACAAUGGUUACUUGA
Musa acuminata subsp. malaccensis (wild Malaysian banana) is the source of this 417-nucleotide non-coding RNA. NCBI's taxonomy places the organism in Eukaryota, Viridiplantae, Streptophyta, Magnoliopsida, Zingiberales, Musaceae. The record is from RefSeq and is a predicted model, not a curated record.